This 504-nucleotide ribosomal RNA is filed under the name uncultured microorganism. Its description in RNAcentral is "bacterial SSU rRNA". It matches the Rfam family "Bacterial small subunit ribosomal RNA", at positions 9 to 524 of the family's 1533-position model. The record is from RNAcentral.
GAGUUUGAUCGUGGCUCAGGACGAACGCUGGCGGCGUGCUUAACACAUGCAAGUCGGACGGGGUUGAGUGGAGGAUGCUUUAGGGUUGAAUCUGCUUGACCUAGUGGCGGACGGGUGAGUAACGCGUGAAUUACCUACCCUAGGGGAGGGGAUAACGCCUGGAAACGGGUGCUAAUACCCCAUAAGCUGGAAGGUGAAAGGGAGAGAUCUGCCCUAGGAUGGGUUUGCGUCCUAUCAGCUAGUUGGUGGGGUAAUGGCUACCAAGGCGGAGACGGGUAGCCGGUCUGAGAGGAUGUACGGCCACACUGGAACUGAGACACGGUCCAGACUCCUACGGGAGGCAGCAGUGGGGAAUAUUGGGCAAUGGGCGGAAGCCUGACCCAGCGACGCCGCGUGAGGGAGGAAGGCCUUUGGGUUGUAAACCUCUGUUGUACGGAAGAAGGUAGUGACGGUACUGUACGAGGAAGCCCCGGCAAACUACGUGCCAGCAGCCGCCGCAGUAAU